UAAGCGGAUUGCAUUAUUUCG
This 21-nucleotide non-coding RNA is filed under the name Caenorhabditis elegans. The record is from RNAcentral. Lineage: Eukaryota; Metazoa; Nematoda; Chromadorea; Rhabditida; Rhabditidae.